GCGGCAGUAGGGACAGCAGGAGCAGUGGUGCUGUCAGCGCGGCCGUCGGAGACAUGGGAGACCCGGGGUCGGAAAUAAUAGAAUCUGUCCCUCCAGCUGGCCCUGAGGCAUCUGAGUCAACAACGGAUGAAAAUGAAGACGACAUUCAGUUUGUCAGUGAAGGACCAUCGAGACCUGUUCUUGAAUACAUCGAUCUGGUCUGUGGUGAUGAUGAAAACCCUAGCGCCUAUUAUAGUGAUGUAAGCACAUUAUAUUUGUGUUUGUUCAGUUUUCUUAUUAAGUGCAAUAGUGUGUUGGUGGUAGCUUGAACUGGAUCAUAAGAACUAAUUGUUGGCCAGGCACGGUGGCUCUCGCUUGUAAUCCCAGCACUUUGGGAGGCCGAGGCGGUUGGAUCACUUGAGGCCAGGAGUUCGAGACCAGCCUGGCCAGCAAGGUGAAACCCCCAUCUCUACUAAAAAUACAAAAAAUUAGCCGGGCUUGGUGGCACAUGCCUGUAAUCCCAGCUACUUGGGAGGCUGAGGCAGGAGAAUCACUUGAACCUGGGAGGUGAAGGUUGCAGUGAGCCGAGAUCAUGCCAUUGUGCUCUACCCUGGGCAACAGAGCAAGACUCCUUCUCAAAAAAAAAAAAAAAAAUCUAAUCGUUAAACUUUCAGGAAUUUUGUGAGCUGAUUGUAAACAUAACAGUUAUUACAAAUUAAAGUAUAUAAAUGCACAAGUACAUAAAUGAUCAUAUUUAAUACAUCAUUUCCUACUUAAUACAUCAUUUCCUACUAUCUGUGCACUUGAGGUUAUUUGCAUCUAUUGGUAGAAAUACUAUUAAUACAUAAUAGUGUCCUGCUGCAGUAUUGAUAGAACAUUACCCCAUUGUAAUCAGUAAAAUACAAACUAGAAUUUGAUUUAUUAUUUGUUGAUUAAACUUAAGAAAGUGAAGGAUAGAAUGUUAAUGCAGAUUAAAUUUCAAAGUGUGAUGUGUCUCUGCUAGACUAAAUGC
RNAcentral lists this long non-coding RNA (991 nucleotides) under Homo sapiens (human). Its description in RNAcentral is "HSALNT0107577". Lineage: Eukaryota; Metazoa; Chordata; Mammalia; Primates; Hominidae. The record is from RNAcentral.